This 253-nucleotide ribosomal RNA is filed under the name uncultured bacterium. Its description in RNAcentral is "partial 16S ribosomal RNA". It matches the Rfam family "Bacterial small subunit ribosomal RNA", at positions 524 to 776 of the family's 1533-position model. The record is from RNAcentral.
UACGGAGGGUGCAAGCGUUAUCCGGAUUUACUGGGUUUAAAGGGUGCGUAGGUGGGCAGGUAAGUCAGUGGUGAAAUCUCCGGGCUUAACCCGGAAACUGCCAUUGAUACUAUCUGUCUUGAAUAUCCUGGAGGUAAGCGGAAUAUGUCAUGUAGCGGUGAAAUGCUUAGAUAUGACAUAGAACACCCAUUGCGAAGGCAGCUUACUACGGGAUUAUUGACACUGAGGCACGAAAGCGAGGGGAUCAAACAGG